RNAcentral lists this non-coding RNA (25 nucleotides) under Mus musculus (house mouse). The record is from RNAcentral. Lineage: Eukaryota; Metazoa; Chordata; Mammalia; Rodentia; Muridae.
UGCAAGGAUCUGCCUCCCCACUUGC